UACAGAGGGGGCAAGCGUUGUUCGGAAUUACUGGGCGUAAAGGGCGCGUAGGCGGCCUGUUAAGUCGAACGUGAAAUCCCCGGGCUCAACCCGGGAACUGCGUCCGAUACUGGCAGGCUUGAAUCCGGGAGAGGGAUGCGGAAUUCCAGGUGUAGCGGUGAAAUGCGUAGAUAUCUGGAGGAACACCGGUGGCGAAGGCGGCAUCCUGGACCGGCAUUGACGCUGAGACACGAAAGCGUGGGGAGCAAACAGG
This 253-nucleotide ribosomal RNA is filed under the name uncultured bacterium. RNAcentral describes it as "partial 16S ribosomal RNA". It matches the Rfam family "Bacterial small subunit ribosomal RNA", at positions 524 to 776 of the family's 1533-position model. The record is from RNAcentral.